CCGUGGGGGCAGUCCAUCAUCGGUCUCCCAAGUCACGAUAGGGUGUUCCCAAGACUUGCAAACUUGUCGAAUAUGCCUUUGUAGCGCGCUCAGUUUCGGAAUGAGCGUCUGGCCCAAUUAGGCUACAUGACGCAACCUUAGACCUAACUAUCCAGGUUAGUUUACUGUCAGAAAAAAACUGAAAGCGACGGGUGCCCUCCAUGAAGCAACAGUAACGCCAAAAGAAGGCUGAGGGCAGCGAAGUUAAUAGCCUUUAUUAGGCUAGUUUAACCGAUCAAGACCACUUCCACAUUGCAAGAUGUCCGUUAAACUGACCUUCGUGAAGUUGGCAAGCAGAGGCAUCACCGUGCUUUGCGCGAGCGCGUCCACCCCUGCCCUGGCGGCAAUCGCAGUGGUGGCUGUGUGCGGGCUACUAUAUUUUACCAAGACCUCUACAACCCCCGCAUAUUGACCGACUAGGACAAACCAGAUAGCCAACUAAGAGAGAAAAAAGCCUGCUACUGUAGGCCUACUCCCUGGAUGGUGGUGGAUUUCAGGAUUCCAAAAUGGAUUCCACUGCCUGCUUUACAAAGACUUGACCAAAAGAUGGCGCUAUUUGUCUUAUCUGUCACUGGCCUUUUGCAAAUGGUGCCAAAGGUUCAGUCCGUGAUUGUUAUCCACACUUUUCUCUUGAAUUCAGGGAAUUGAUCCUCAUUGUCACAUAGAUGUCAGCGUUGGCGUCCAAAAAAAUGCAGGUGUAUUCAGUCCUGGCUCUGUGUAUGGAGCGACCUCUAAACAAUAGCCAAUCAACAAGGUGCUCCAUUGGCAUGUAGAGUGAU
Alosa sapidissima (American shad) is the source of this 818-nucleotide long non-coding RNA. RefSeq lists it as uncharacterized. Lineage: Eukaryota; Metazoa; Chordata; Actinopteri; Clupeiformes; Clupeidae. The transcript is spliced from 3 exons. The record is from RefSeq and is a predicted model, not a curated record.